GAUGAACGCUGGCGGCGUGCCUAAUACAUGCAAGUCGAGCGAACGGACGAGAAGCUUGCUUCUCUGCUGUUAGCGGCGGACGGGUGAGUAACACGUGGAUAACCUACCUAUAAGACUGGGAUAACUUCGGGAAACCGGAGCUAAUACCGGAUAAUAUUUUGAACCGCAUGGUUCAAAAGUGAAUGACGGUCUUGCUGUCACUUAUAGAUGGAUCCGCGCUGCAUUAGCUAGUUGGUAAGGUAACGGCUUACCAAGGCAACGAUGCAUAGCCGACCUGAGAGGGUGAUCGGCCACACUGGAACUGAGACACGGUCCAGACUCCUACGGGAGGCAGCAGUAGGGAAUCUUCCGCAAUGGGCGAAAGCCUGACGGAGCAAUGCCGCGUGAGUGAUGAAGGUCUUCGGAUCGUAAAACUCUGUUAUUAGGGAAGAACAUAUGUGUAAGUAACUGUGCACAUCUUGACGGUACCUAAUCAGAAAGCCACGGCUAACUACGUG
RNAcentral lists this ribosomal RNA (497 nucleotides) under uncultured bacterium. RNAcentral's name for it is "partial 16S ribosomal RNA". It matches the Rfam family "Bacterial small subunit ribosomal RNA", at positions 28 to 507 of the family's 1533-position model. The record is from RNAcentral.